Molecule: long non-coding RNA, 3958 nt
Organism: Equus caballus (horse)
Lineage: Eukaryota; Metazoa; Chordata; Mammalia; Perissodactyla; Equidae
Source: Ensembl
CUGGUUCUUCUUGGAAUAAUGGGGGUAUCGGACUAGAAUUAUUUGAAAGUUUUAAAUUUCUAAAAUUCAAGGAAAAUGGUGACAAAUCCAAAUAGAAUCGAUCUCUAACAUCUUUUUUUUUAAUCACUUAUGGAAGAAACGUGUGAAGAACUUCCAUCCGGAAAUGAACGACUCGACAAGGAAAGUCAAACCAUUCAUCUUAUCUGAAUUACUUCUGCCUACCUUGAUAUACCUUCUCCCACUGCUUUUCCUCUCUGACAUUUUAAAUUGUCUUAAUUCUCUUUAACUUGACUUAUUUCCUUCAGCCAUAUAUCUGUCUGUUGAAUCUUUUUUCUAUGUUUGUGUUCUCGAUCUUUUGUUGGUUUCAUUUCCCCUGUAUUGUUUUCUACAUUCCAGAAAGGAAGAAAAAUUACAUCAUGACAUCCUCUGGCUACCCAAGGACAUAACAUUUUAGAUGCAGGCUGCCAAGGGAGGAAGAUGUGUGAGGCACUGCCAGCCAUGCCAGCCAGACAGUGGUGGAGUCUUUGAGGUGCAAGAAAGCCUGCACCUAGAACCAGUAUGGAAGCUCCAGGAUGCUCCUAUGUGCUGCUCUGUCAGUCUCGGAGGAAGAUCGCUGCUGGGAUUUAACCAUUUACAUCUUCAUUCCAGCCAGCAAGAAGAAGAAUAUACAGAGGUGAAUGUCCCCUUCUUUUAAGAAUCUUCCUAGAGAUCAGGCACUUCCAAGUCCAUUCCAUUCCUGGAACUUAGUCAUGUACCGGUUUACUAGCUGCAAAGGAAGCUGUAAUCUUUAUUUGGUGGCCACGUGCCCAGCUAGAAUCAGGAGUUCUACGACUAAGAAAAAAGGAGAGAAAUGACAACAAGAGACUGCCAGCAAUGACUACCACCCAUUCUAAUUCCGCAGCCCUUAUAAUAAUCAAUCAAGUCUAGUCUUUGAGACGUGCAGCUUGUGGGAGCUCCCUGAACCUUGUGUAAUGUAUGCAGGUCUCCAGAUGAUAGAGACACAAGGUUCUCCAAAUUUCUUUUAGAUCUUUGUUCUUUUCUUAAAUUUGAUUUAUAAUUCCAGUGGAUGCCCCAUUUUAGAAGACAAUCAGAGAUAUAGCUGUAUGUAAUUUUCUAGGAGGAUAAAAAUGCCAUCUGGAGAAUUUUAAUACGUUUGGCAUUUCUCUGAGGAAUAUGAAGUAUAAUAACUGCAUUGAAGUGGAUUUGUCAUCUAAUAGCCUUAAAUGAUCCCUCUCUUUCGGCUGCAUUUCCCUCCAUUAUUUACUAUGCCUCCCAAUAGCUUAUCAUCCACUGCUGUCUACUUUCCUCUUUGUCCUUAAUUUCCUAAGACAGAUUUCCACUUAAGAGACUGAGAAACUAUUAGAUGGAGAGUUUCCACAAACCACAGGAGCAUAAGGUCUUCUGCAAAGAGACACAUUCACCUACUAUGGGUUAAAGAGAGAAAGUUGCAUUACAUCUUCCACACUGACAAACCCAGAUGCUAUCAACGUGAAGAGGACAUAAUUGCAUUUGAAUUGAGGAAAUCUACAUGCAUAACUCUUAUUAACACAAAUACGAUAGAAGCUAAGUGUCUAAAUUCCUGUGCAGAGGAAAAAGAAGUAGCUAUAUUCCCAGUCUAAUGUAAAACAUGGCCUCCUAUAUUUGAGUUGGAAUUUUCAUAACUGUUUAGUAUUAGUCUGUGAGUUGUUCUAGGGACAGGCAAUAUCAAAGAAGAAAACAGUACUCAAUCUCCAUAAAACAUUUUAGCAACACUUAGAGAAGCAGACUACUCGAUAUUUAUUUUGGAAAUUAGCCAGCUAUCUACAAUAUGUUUUCAAAUUAUGCAUGCAUUGGUAGUAUUCCAUUGCAAUUGGCAAGGCCACUAUAUAUCUUUAUCUUUGCUAUAUUUGGAACACAGGAAAAUGUCAGUAUUUCCUUUCAUGGUAACAUUUUGGAGCUAACAAUAUUCACUAGUAUGAAAAGCAUUUUCUGAUCAAAAGAGUUGUUCUUAAAUAUGUGUUUGUUCCGUGGCUGGCCCAGUGGCAUAGUGGUUAACUUCACGUGCUCCACAUCGGUUGGGGGGGUUCGCCGGCUGGGAACCACUCAUCAAGCCAUGCUGUGUUGGCAUCCCACAUAGAAGAGCUAGAAGGACUUACAACUAGGAUAUACAACUAUGUACUGGGGCUUUGGAGGGAAAAAAAGGGGGGGAAGAUUGGCAACAGAUGUUAGCUCAGGGCCAAUAUUCCUCACAAAAAAAAGAAAAAAAUUAUGUGUUUGUUCAAAGAUUAUAUGACAUGUUGAAGAUUAUGUCUUUAUAGAUCUUUUCAUUUAAUUUGUAAUGACUUCAAAUGAUUAAAAAGAAUACAAAUGAAUUAUUUAACUUCUCAAAAGAAAAAUAAAAUAAUAUGACCAUGCCCUACAUAAUUUUGACAAAUUAUCCACCAGUGAUAAAUAAAUUACAUGGGUUGAUUAUUGAACCAAACACUACCAUCUAAGUCAUGUUGCUAUGCAUCACCAGGUGGCUUUUUAUUUACCUUGUCUGAAUGGAGUUCUAUACCUUCAAUCUCCUUAUAAGUCCCUGCUAAGACUCGAGAAAUUCUUGACGGAGGGUGUGGGAGGGGGUUGAGUUAGAAGCAUCAUGAGGACACAUAAGUGUUGGUAAGGUUUGGACAAAUUAUUACAGCAUAGGCAGCAAACUUGAAGCAUAUGGAAGCAACUAUCUUUAGUUUUGAACCUAAGAAUUAAGUGACUAAAUUUUAAACUUUUCACUUGUUUUUCAUCUAUAUUUAUUUCAUGUUAUUAGAUAUUUAUUAGAUUCAGAGACUCAUUUGCUCUGUGUGUACUUUGUUACUCAAGGCCAUACUUAUUUCAUCAUGAGAAACAUUUAUGCUAUGUCUACACUCAACACUAAUGCAUAUAUGACCCAAAACAUGUGGUUUGGCUGUGUCUGUGUAUACAUCUGACACAAGGUAUAAUGACAACAAAAAGAACAAAUACACAAAUAUAACGAUCAAUAAUUCCCAUCACCACCAUCUUAUAUUUAAGCAUGUACUCCUUGUGAGACUAAAUACUUUACACAGGAAUUUGGGGGGACAUAACUCCAUGGAGCACUUUUUUUUUUUUCGAGGAAGAUUAGCCCUGAGCUAACAUCUGCCAAUCCUCCUCUUUUUUGGUGAGGAAGACUGGCCCUGAGCUAACAUGCAUGCCCAUCUUCCUCUACUUUAUAUGUGGGAUGCCUACCAGAGCAUGGCCUGCCACGCGGUGCCAUGUCUGCACCGGGAUCAGAACCGGCAAAUCCCAGGCCGCCGAAGGGGAACAUGCGCACUUAACUGCUGCGCCACCAGGCCGGCCCUUUGGGGCACAUUUUUACCAAUGAAGAAACUAUGUCACAAGAGAGGUUAUGUUACAUACCAAAAGUAAAUGGCUAGUAAAAGAUACUGUCUAAAUUUGAAAGCAGUUUCAUAUUUGUUGAAGUACUUGAAUAAAUGAAUAAAUCAAUAAAUGAUUCUAAAGCUCACAUUUUUUUCCAUGUUGAUAGAUUCACAGCAUUUAUUUUCUAAAAGCCCAUGUUUCUUAACCAUUUACACUAACACAAUAAUUCUGAAUUUACCAAUCAGGUCCUGAUUAGGCAAUAAGGAGAAACCUGAGUAUAUAAAUACACUGGGUGUAUGUAUUCUGCAAAUCUUUUUGAAUUAGUAAAGUUAAGUGACUCAUUUGAAGGUCUCUAAUGAGAGUAGGGUCAUGGCUAGAACACAGAUAUUUCUGACUCCUUGUCCAAUGUAGUUCCCAUCCAGUGACACCUGUUACUUAGUGACAGCUACCAUCAUCUAGGAUACCUUAUAUCUAUAUAGAUAUAGAUAUGUUAUAUCUAUAUAUUGGGAGCAGUUAAAAAAUCAAAAGGCACAUCUUAUUUAUCACCUGCCAUCACAUAAGAUAAAUCCUGUUUUUUUUCCUAUACAUUGUACCCUCUGAUUCUACA